Molecule: ribosomal RNA, 910 nt
Filed under: Chrysosporium keratinophilum
Lineage: Eukaryota; Fungi; Ascomycota; Eurotiomycetes; Onygenales; Onygenaceae
Description: LSU rRNA
Rfam family: Eukaryotic large subunit ribosomal RNA
Source: RNAcentral
GCAUAUCAAUAAGCGGAGGAAAAGAAACCAACAGGGAUUGCCUCAGUAACGGCGAGUGAAGCGGCAAAAGCUCAAAUUUGAAAUCUGGCACCGUUAGGUGUCCGAGUUGUAAUUUGGAGAGGAUACUUCGGGUGUGGCUACGGCGUAAGUCCCUUGGAACAGGGCGUCAUAGAGGGUGAGAAUCCCGUCUUAAGUCGUUUGUCCAUGCCCAUGCGAAGUUCCUUCGACGAGUCGAGUUGUUUGGGAAUGCAGCUCUAAGUGGGUGGUAAAUUUCAUCUAAAGCUAAAUAUUGGCCGGAGACCGAUAGCGAACAAGUAGAGUGAUCGAAAGGUUAAAAGCACCUUGAAAAGGGAGUUAAAUAGCACGUGAAAUUGUUGAAAGGGAAGCGCUUGCAACCAGACUCGGUCAUAGGGGCUCAGCGAGCAUGCGUGCUCGUGUACUCCCCUGUGUUCGGGCCAGCAUCAGUUCUGGCGGUUGGUUAAAGGCCCUUGGAAUGUAUCAUCCUCCGGGAUGUCUUAUAGCCAAGGGUGUAAUGCAGCCAGCCGGGGACUGAGGAACGCGCUUCGGCACGGAUGCUGGCGUAAUGGUUGUAAGCGGCCCGUCUUGAAACACGGACCAAGGAGUCUAACAUCCACGCGAGUGUUCGGGUGUUAAACCCGUGCGCGCAGUGAAAGCGAACGGAGGUGGGAGCCCUUUAGGGUGCACCAUCGACCGAUCCUGAAGUCUUCGGAUGGAUUUGAGUAAGAGCGUGGCUGUUGGGACCCGAAAGAUGGUGAACUAUGCCUGAAUAGGGUGAAGCCAGAGGAAACUCUGGUGGGAGGCUCGCAGCGGUUCUGACGUGCAAAUCGAUCGUCAAAUUUGGGUAUAGGGGCGAAAGACUAAUCGAACCAUCUGGUAGCUGGGUCUGCGA